UACAGGGGGUGCAAACGUUGCUCGGAAUCAUUGGGCGUAAAGCGCACGUAGGCGGUUCGUUAUGUCGGAUGUGAAAGCCCUUGGCUUAACCGAGGAAGUGCAUCCGAAACUGGCGAGCUAGAGUACGAAAGAGGAUCGCGGAAUUCCCGGUGUAGAGGUGAAAUUCGUAGAUAUUGGGGAGAACACCGGUGGCGAAGGCGGCUCACUGGCUCAUUACUGACGCUCAGGCGCGAUAGCGUGGGGAUCAAACAGG
RNAcentral lists this ribosomal RNA (253 nucleotides) under uncultured bacterium. RNAcentral's name for it is "partial 16S ribosomal RNA". It matches the Rfam family "Bacterial small subunit ribosomal RNA", at positions 524 to 776 of the family's 1533-position model. The record is from RNAcentral.